AUGCCAAUUAGGGGCAGAUCCCAAUGGCCCAAGGUAAAUCCCGGAUUUGAUAUGAUCCCUCCCAAACUUACCAAGAGUGCUGGACGUCCAAGAACUAGGAGGAUAAAGAAUUACACCGAAGGUGGAACCGGUAGAAGACACAAAUGCAAAAGAUGUGGAGCAAUAGGCCAUCUUCGAAAGACAUGCAAGGAGCCUGAGAUGGAAAGUGACGCGGAUCGAGAUGCUACUCCUCCUCCGCGGUAUUUAUUUCAUAACUCUCAUCUCUUUCACUUGUAUUUAUUUCAUGAUGUUACUCCUCUUCCAUGGUAUUUCUUUCAUGAUACUACUUCUCACAUUGUUGCCAAAUGUCCUACAUAUUAA
RNAcentral lists this ribosomal RNA (360 nucleotides) under Triticum aestivum (bread wheat). Its description in RNAcentral is "partial small subunit ribosomal RNA". Lineage: Eukaryota; Viridiplantae; Streptophyta; Magnoliopsida; Poales; Poaceae. The record is from RNAcentral.